Molecule: ribosomal RNA, 118 nt
Organism: Loxodonta africana (African savanna elephant)
Lineage: Eukaryota; Metazoa; Chordata; Mammalia; Proboscidea; Elephantidae
Source: Ensembl
GUCUAUGGCCAUACCACCCUGAAUAAGCCCAAUCUCAUCGAUCUUGGAAGCUAAGCAGGGUCAGACCUGGUUCGUACGAGGAUGGGAGACCCUCUGGGAAUACUGGGUGCUGUAGGCU